RNAcentral lists this transfer RNA (72 nucleotides) under Candidatus Levyibacteriota bacterium. Its description in RNAcentral is "tRNA-Asn". It matches the Rfam family "tRNA". Rfam says of the family: Transfer RNA (tRNA) molecules are approximately 80 nucleotides in length. Lineage: Bacteria; Candidatus Levyibacteriota. The record is from RNAcentral.
UCCCCUGUAGCUCAAUGGUAGAGCGCUUCGCUGUUAACGAAGAUGUUCGAGGUUCGAGUCCUCGCGGGGGAG